Molecule: ribosomal RNA, 238 nt
Filed under: uncultured Lactobacillus sp.
Lineage: Bacteria; Bacillati; Bacillota; Bacilli; Lactobacillales; Lactobacillaceae
Description: partial 16S ribosomal RNA
Rfam family: Bacterial small subunit ribosomal RNA
Source: RNAcentral
CCGUGCCCAAGAGAUCGGGAUAACACCUGGAAACAGAUGCUAAUACCGGAUAACAACAGAUGAUGCCUAUCAACUGUUUAAAAGAUGGUUCUGCUAUCACUCUUGGAUGGACCUGCGGUGCAUUAGCUAGUUGGUAGGGUAACAGCCUACCAAGGCGAUGAUGCAUAGCCGAGUUGAGAGACUGAUCGGCCACAUUGGGACUGAGACACGGCCCAAACUCCUACGGGAGGCAGCAGCC